This 500-nucleotide ribosomal RNA is filed under the name uncultured bacterium. RNAcentral describes it as "partial 16S ribosomal RNA". It matches the Rfam family "Bacterial small subunit ribosomal RNA", at positions 30 to 523 of the family's 1533-position model. The record is from RNAcentral.
AUUGAACGCUGGUGGAAUGCUUUACACAUGCAAGUCGAACGGCAGCACGGACUUCGGUCUGGUGGCGAGUGGCGAACGGGUGAGUAAUGUACCGGAACGUGCCCAGUCGUGGGGGAUAACGUAGUGAAAAUUACGCUAAUACCGCAUACGAUCUAUGGAUGAAAGCGGGGGAUCGCAAGACCUCGCGCGAUUGGAGCGGCCGAUAUCAGAUUAGGUAGUUGGUGGGGUAAAGGCCCACCAAGCCAACGAUCUGUAGCUGGUCUGAGAGGACGACCAGCCACACUGGAACUGAGACACGGUCCAGACUCCUACGGGAGGCAGCAGUGGGGAAUUUUGGACAAUGGGCGAAAGCCUGAUCCAGCCAUUCCGCGUGCAGGAUGAAGACCCUCGGGUUGUAAACUGCUUUUGUACAGAACGAAGAGGUUUCUACUAAUACUAGGAGCUCAUGACGGUACUGUAAGAAUAAGCACCGGCUAACUCCGUGCCAGCCGCCGCAGUAA